UUUUAAUUUAUAAUUUAUUAAUUAAAAAGUGGUGUACAGGUGAGUAUAAUAAUAUUUUAUGCCGACCUUAAAGUGAAGGUAAAUCCUUCAUAUAAAAAGGGAUUACUUAAUCCCGCUUUAAGAGGAUGAUAAAUAUUUUCGAGGUAGGUAGUAGUGAAGGUUAUGUCUUGACUAGCCUUAAUUCUCGUAGUCGAAACUGAAAGGUUAAUCGACCACAUUGGGUCUGAAAAAAUCCCAAUGCAAGUUAGUACAGCAGUGAGGAAUAUUGGUCAAUGGCCUAACGGCUGAACUGGCAACUUGGAGAAGUGAUAAGUCUUAGAUUGUUAUUAUUAAUAAUAACUAUAAGAUUAAAUUAGUAUUGAAUAAAACUUUGUCUAUAUAUUGAUAAUGACGAUAUAUAUAUUAUGUCUUGACUAAUUACGUGCCAGCAGUCGCGGUAAUACGUAAGAGACUAGUGUUAUUCAUCUUAAUUAGGUUUAAAGGGUACCCAAAUGGUCAAUAAAACUGACUAGAGUUAUAUGGAAGAAGGCAGUACCUUAAGUGUAGAGAUUAAAUGCUGUCAUACUAGAGGGACUCUGAAAAGGCGUAGGCAGCCUUCUAAGUAAUAACUGACGUUGAAGGACGAAAGCAUAGAUCACGAACAGGAUUAGAUACCCAAGUAGUCUUUGCAGUCAAUGAUGAAUGCCAUAGGUUAGAAAAAAUUUUAGUCUAUAAAUGAAAGUGUAAGCAUUUCACCUCAAGAGUAAAGUGGCAACGCAGGAACUGAAAUCACUAGACCGUUUCUGACACCAGUAGUGAAGUAUGUGUGCGACAAGAAGCGGGUAUUAGUAAUACGGUGUGAUUCCGUUUGGUAUUUUCUCUACCUAACACUAUUUACACAUGCAAAUCAGUAAUGAUUUGUGUGAAGCUGUAAAGACAAUGUAGCCUCUCUUAAAUGAGAAUGUUAAUAUAAAUUAUAUUACCAGGAGCUAGUGUAAAUAAGAUAUGGAAAGCGAAAGCGAAAUUAGCAAUGACGCUUCAAUAAUACAACACAGAAGGAAGGUAAUAGAUUCGACAUACUAAUCUAUUAGAGAAACCAUAUUUCCGUUGAAGUAAAGCUAAUUUCCUAAGUCUUAUGUAAAUUGUGCUAAUAUCUGAACUUGGUAACCCCUUUAUCUUCAGUAAUGUAUUUAUAUAUUAAAGAGGUAACAUAUAAAGCUUAAAAGGCAGAAAUUGUUAUAUCAGAUAAAGGGAAGAGGAUUUGUUAAAAAGCAAAUGCUUUAUUUAGGUUUCAAUUGAAGUAAAUCUGAAUAAUAGAUAAAGAUAUAUGUAUUGUAUUAUGAAAAGGAGUAAAUAGUAUUUAGUCCUUAUAUUUAGUUUUUUAAAGAUAUAUACAUUCAACUCAUUAAUAAUAAUAAUGAAAAAAUUCAAAUUAUUUAAUUCAUCAGUAUUAGAAAAUAAUUCGUUAUGUUGAUUUGUAAGUGGUUUAGUAGACGCUGAAGGAAGCUUUGGCGUAAAUCUUGUAAAAAAAGAAUCUAAACUAGGUUAUGCAGUUUUAACUUAUUUUGAAAUAGGUUUAAAUAAAAAAGAUGAACAACUACUAGAAACAAUAAAUAAAGUAUUAGGUACUAAUAAAAUUUUAUAUUAUAAUAAAAGUGAUGAUACAUUAAAGUUAAAGAUAUCUAAUAUAGAUGAAUUAAUUAAUAAUGUAAUACCACAUUUCAAAAAAUAUCCUUUGUUUACUCAAAAGAGAGUAGAUUUUGAAUUAAUGUCUAAAGUAUUAGAGAUAAUACAAAGCAAACGACAUUUAACUGAAGAAGGUUUAAAUGAAAUAGUGAGCAUAAAGGCUGGAAUGAAUUUAGGGUUAUCUGAUAAAUUGAAAAAUGAAUUUUCAACGAUAAAACCCUUAACUAGGUUAACUAUUAAUACAGGUAUACCUAAUAAAGAUUGAUUAGCUGGAUUUAUGGAAGGUGAAUCAUGUUUUUAUGUGAGUAUAUAUAAUUCACCUAAAUCUAAAUUAAAUUAUGCUGUACAAUUAGUGUUUAAAAUAACUCAACAUUUUAGAGAUAAAGUCUUAUUAGAAAACAUCUCUAUAUUAUUAGAAUGUGGUAGAGUAGAAACAAGAAAAUCUGGAGAUGCUUGUGAUUUUACAGUUACAUCAUUCAAUAAGUUUAAAAAAAAUAUGAUACCUUAUUGAGAGAAUUAUCCCUUAAUAGGUCAUAAAUCAAAGGAUUACUUUGAUUUUAAAAGAGUUUAUGAAAUAAUGUUAGCUAAGGGUCAUUUAACUAAAGAAGGGCUGGCUAAUAUAAUUGAAAUAAAAAACUCUAUGAAUACCAAAAGAGUAUAAUUAAAUAUGUUUUAAUUAACAUAUUAUAAAAUAUUUAUAUGCAUACUUCUAUGCAACAAUACAAUACAAUACAUAUAUUUAUUAAGAUAUAAAAAUCUUAAUAUAGCUGACUUAACAAGGGUGAAAUUUGACAUAAUAAAGAUAGUUUGUGUGUUAGGUUAUAUCUAAUAUUAUGUUUGGGGCGAUGGCUCCUGUAGAAAAAUUUUGCUUGAGCCGUAUGCGAUGAAAGUUGCACGUACGGUUCUUUAAGGGGGAAAGUUUGAGAGGACCUACCUAUCUUAACUGUUUAAUUCGAUAAUCCACGAAAAACCUUACCACAAUUUGUAUAUUUAUACAGGAGUUGCACGGCUGUCUGCAGUUGAUGUUGUGAAACUAUGGUUUCCAUGAAUUAACACAAUUCCUUGCUUUAUUUUUGUUUGUUUUUACGAUAAAGCAUUUGACCUGAGAAUAUGGGAAGAAAAAAGGGAGUAAGACAAGUCAUCAUGGCCUUAAUAUUGUGGGCUAUAGACGUGCCACAUAAGCCUAAACAAAGAGAUGCAAAAAUGUGAAUUCUAGCAAAUCUCCAAAAUAGGAAAUAAAAAGGAUUGUAGUCUGAAAUUCGACUAUAUGAAUACGUAAUUACUAGUAAUCGUGAAUCACCAUGUCACGGUGAAUAUAUCUCGGAUUGGUACUAAUCACUCGUCGCAUGCUGAAAGGAGUUUAUACAAUAAGUUUGCUCUUUUAUAAUAAGUAAAAGAAAUAAAUAGAUUUUAUAUAUCUUAUUAUAGAAUUCUUCGUAUGUAUAGCUCUAAUUAGUGUU
This 3125-nucleotide ribosomal RNA is filed under the name Cordyceps sp. 97009. The record is from RNAcentral. Lineage: Eukaryota; Fungi; Ascomycota; Sordariomycetes; Hypocreales; Cordycipitaceae.